Molecule: long non-coding RNA, 538 nt
Organism: Dermacentor andersoni
Lineage: Eukaryota; Metazoa; Arthropoda; Arachnida; Ixodida; Ixodidae
Source: RefSeq, a predicted model, not a curated record
UUUUUCGAACUUGACCAAAUAUAAUCAUGAGGAUGAAGGCAGCAAUUUUUAUUGUAAUUCUCGUACUGCUUGUUUUCCGAGUGUCUUGUCAAUCUCGAGCAAGAGCAAACAGAAAGUCUACAUAUAUUGAUGUCCCAGUGCCAACUCAUCACGGUAACUGCAAGUACCACAGUCUGAAACUUCCUGACAACAGUGUCAAGUACUUUGGUACAUCUGGUACACCUUGCGAAGUAAUAUGGUGUCAUUCUAACGCAACGCAGGUAACCAUAGCAGGGUGUCCUCCUCCUACAGGUACACAAUAUACUGGCAAAGGAGGAAGAUGGCCUAAUUGCUGCCCAAAAACAAACCAAUGAAUGCCUUGAAACACUUUGAGUGAAGUUUGCAUAACUUUGUAAUGUUCGAGACUUUGUAGACGGCACCUACCAAUGCAGCGUUGAGGGAUAGUAAAACAAACCCUUGAUGCUUUUUUUUUUGUAAAAAUUUAAGCGCGUCAAAUAAAGCUUAUGUAGGGCUCAUCAAAUAAACAGCUCAAAUGUAA